AACCCAUGUUGAGAACUUUUCCGUAGGAGAUCCUUGAACCGUUCCCAUGUCUCAAAGAGAGACUCCAAUCCCAUUUGCAUAAAAGAAGGGAUCUCAUUCCUAUGCUU
Small nucleolar RNA from Dioscorea cayenensis subsp. rotundata (Guinea yam), 107 nucleotides. NCBI's taxonomy places the organism in Eukaryota, Viridiplantae, Streptophyta, Magnoliopsida, Dioscoreales, Dioscoreaceae. The record is from RefSeq and is a predicted model, not a curated record.